UAUAAUGGGAGCCACCUAACUGAAAAUUUUCUAGUAAUCAUAUUUAUUUUUUUAUUUUUUUUUAGUAAUCAUAUUUAGAAAAGCAAAAAGAAACAGGCAAAAUUAAUGUAAAUAUUUUAUGAAACCCACUCUAUUAAAACACUGUCAUUUCAACAUGUGGUUCAUAUGAAAAUUAUUGAUGAGGUAUUCUAUUUUUCGUACUAACUCUGCAUAGCUGAGUGUGUAUUUUUCACUUGCAGUGCACCUCAGUUGGAACUAGUGACAUUUCAGGUGUUCAGUGCAAUGUGUGGCUGGUGGUUACCUCAUCCUGGGAAGGUCUUGGUAUCUUUCAAACAGCAACAAUAUAGCUGAAGCCGGAGCAACUGACUGACAAGCCCCUUCCACAUAAAGGUACCCACGCACCAUGCAGGAAAUGUGUGUGCGGUACGGUGGGCUGAGAGACUCUGGAACGGGAACCGCCCUUGCCUAGCCUUCCUCCUUGGAUGCCUCGGCACAAUGACUCGGGAGCUCCGGUGCCAGACCUUCCAGUUAGACAGAAAUGCAGUUGUCUGAUGCUGAUCUUUGCGGCUAUGUUCUUAAGCCCUAAACUCCACAUUGGUUGUGUUCGCUCCUCGGUCUGUGGUUUGGAGGUUAGAAAGGAGGAGAGAAGUGAGAGCGGAGUCAGGAGAAGAGAUGAAGCAGUGGUUAAGGCACUAGGCCUGCGCAGCCCUCUGGAGAAAUCUGCACACAGUUAAGCCAGUAACCAGAAUUAAAUCUGACUAAGGAAGAAUCAGCACUCUACGGCUUCAUCUGCUGGCACUGACAUUAAAAUUUGCAGAGAGAACAUUUCAACGCGGCGUCCUCUGUGCUCCAUCCUGAGCCCAGGUGAGUGUGGUUCAAAGAGGUUUUCCUAUAGAUGUUCCUGCGAGGAGGUGAGUGAGUGGUAGCCUUUGGUUUCUUAGGUCAGAGAAUGGGGACCCUGUUCAGAAUGAGGAGGUCUGGAAUCCUCUUGGUCCCAUGAGGGCUUCCUAGUCUUCCUUCCCCUCCGCUCCUCUUGACUCUCCAAGGCAAAAACGGGGAAUGAAACCCACGUUUCUUUUUCAUGAUCGGGUAACAUUGUGCUAAAAUGGCUAUUUUACUUUUCUGGUUUUUUCUAGCUGCUUGUGUUGUUAUUGUCUGGACUUCAGAAAUUUUUUAAGUGAUAAAUCAUCAUCUUGUGAAAGGUCAAGAGAAAGGAGGGUGUGAAAUCUGGAUUUCGUACACGUUCCGCUAUGUCGUUACAGUCGUUCAGCACUUAUCUCUGUGCUUGGCAUCUGGUGUGUGGUGGGAUGGAUUAAAAACCCCAACCAACAACCAAAAACCAGACCAGAGGGACCCCGUAAUCAGUUUUUAGGCUGAAGGAAACAAAACAAAAAAACCUAGAAAUUAGAGGUGAGUUACUAAUAAUAUAGUAACCGUGCAGCUGUCUCUGGGGACUUUAUAAUGUGGGUCGCAUGUCAUCUUUUUUCCUCAUGACGCAGCUCACCCAGAUGCAGAGAAGGACUAAACGGACUGGAACCAGGGGGAGGCAAGUGAAUCACUUACCCUGGGUGUACAACUGAAGGGGACUCCAGAACUCAGUAAUCAAGAUGAAUACUUUACAAAUCCAUGAUGAAUGGAUUCAUCCACUCAAUCCAUAAUGAAUUCAAUCCAUAAUGAAUCCAUGAUGAACAAGGUAUCAACAUUUUAAAUAAAGAGAAGACCAGUAUUAAUGAUUUUUCUUUCUUCUGUUGCCUCAGGCUCUAAUGUGGCUCGGCACAGCAUUUGAGUUAAUAUCCAGAGAUAAAGCAGAAUAAAUGUGCAUACAUGUGCGUGUUUCAGACAGGCUCUCUCCAAGGACAGGCUGAUGCAGAUAUGUGAGUGAGUGAGAGACAGACAGAGGAAUCCUAAAGCUGGAGGAAAUCUUAAUCCCAAAAGGUUAGUCCAGUCAAUUUUACAGGUGAGGAAACGGGGCAAUGAUUUACCUUGAACCGAUCAUACAUUUUGAAAUAUCCCAAAGCCUAGGCCUCUUGACACGAGUCCUGUGGAUAGUUGCACAGGGGCAGCUUUCAAAGUGGGGGAAACUCCCUCUCCCAUGAGGCGGCGAGCUCAGUGAACUGGUCGAAUUAGAGCAUUUUAAUGGGCCACAUAUGUAGUGCUAGAACUUUUAAAAUAGAGGUUCAGAGCACACAUGUAGUCUGUCUGGACUCUGUACCUAUAAGGUACACAUUGGCUAGAAGACCCGCCUGGCUGGAGCCAUUGGGGCAAACUCGUCCUUGCUUUGUACCCCUCCCUUGUUCUUCGGCUCUGUUCCCCAAUGACUCUCCUGGCUUGGCUUUUCCUCACAUCACAGGGGUUUGAACUGAGAUCUGAAUUUUGUGCUUUGGUUCUGAUUCAGCCAGAGGAAGCCUUUCUCUGGAGUUUGACAGUAGGAUUUGGGGCCAAAACCCCAGCUAGAGUAACUGCCUCUUUGCCCUCAGGGAGUCUAGAGUCCCUUGUGACCCUGUAAGGAGUGUAGGUGACAGAGGAAGGACGGUCUGGGUGG
Neogale vison (American mink) is the source of this 2542-nucleotide long non-coding RNA. RefSeq lists it as uncharacterized. The record is from RefSeq and is a predicted model, not a curated record. The transcript is spliced from 5 exons. NCBI's taxonomy places the organism in Eukaryota, Metazoa, Chordata, Mammalia, Carnivora, Mustelidae.